This 363-nucleotide ribosomal RNA is filed under the name uncultured eukaryote. RNAcentral describes it as "partial 18S ribosomal RNA". It matches the Rfam family "Eukaryotic small subunit ribosomal RNA", at positions 592 to 976 of the family's 1831-position model. The record is from RNAcentral.
CAAUAGCGUAUAUUAAAGUUGUUGCAGUUAAAAAGCUCGUAGUUGAACCUUGGGCUUGGCUGGCCGGUCCAUCUUUUUUGAUGCGUACUGGACCCAGCCGAGCCUUUCCUUCUGGCUAGCCUUUUGGCGAACCAGGACUUUACUUUGAAAAAAUUAGAGUGUUCAAAGCAGGCCUUUGCUCGAAUAUAUUAGCAUGGAAUAAUAGAAUAGGACGUUAUGGUUCUAUUUUGUUGGUUUCUAGGACCAUCGUAAUGAUUAAUAGGGACGGUCGGGGGUAUCAGUAUUCAGUUGUCAGAGGUGAAAUUCUUGGAUUUACUGAAGACUAACUACUGCGAAAGCAUUUACCAAGGACGUUUUCAUUAA